GACGAACGUUGGCGGCGUGCUUAAUACAUGCAAGUCAACUGAAGCAGUGGUAGCAAUAUCGCUGUGGAGGUGGCGCACGGGUGAGUAACACGUAGGUAAUCUGCCUUCAGGUCUGGCAUAACUCCGGGAAACCGGGGCUAAUAGCAGAUGAUGCAGCGGCUCGACAUCGAGACAGUUGUUAAAGCUAUGGCGCCUGAAGAUGAGCCUGCGUCUGAUUAGCUAGUUGGCGGGGUAACGGCCCACCAAGGCAACGAUCAGUAGCUGGUCUGAGAGGAUGAUCAGGCACACUGGAAAUGGGGAACGGGCCAGACUCCUACGGGAGGCAGCAGUAAGGAAUAUUGCUCAAUGGGAGAAAUCCUGAAGCAGCAACGGCGCGUGAGGGACGAAGGGCUUUUGCUUGUAAACCUCUGGAGUGAGAGAAAAAAAAUCCCAAUCUUUGGGACAUGAUGGUAUCUCAAAAGUAAGCCCCGGCUAACUACGUG
RNAcentral lists this ribosomal RNA (482 nucleotides) under uncultured bacterium. RNAcentral's name for it is "partial 16S ribosomal RNA". It matches the Rfam family "Bacterial small subunit ribosomal RNA", at positions 28 to 507 of the family's 1533-position model. The record is from RNAcentral.